GUGGACAUAGCUCAACGGUUAGAGCACCGGUCUGUGGAACCGGGGGCUGUGGGUUCAAAUCCCAUUGUCCACCCA
RNAcentral lists this transfer RNA (75 nucleotides) under Spirochaetota bacterium. Its description in RNAcentral is "Spirochaetes bacterium (hot springs metagenome) tRNA-His". It matches the Rfam family "tRNA". From Rfam's summary of the family: Transfer RNA (tRNA) molecules are approximately 80 nucleotides in length. Their secondary structure includes four short double-helical elements and three loops (D, anti-codon, and T loops). Further hydrogen bonds mediate the characteristic L-shaped molecular structure. tRNAs have two regions of fundamental functional importance: the anti-codon, which is responsible for specific mRNA codon recognition, and the 3' end, to which the tRNAs corresponding amino acid is attached (by aminoacyl-tRNA synthetases). tRNAs cope with the degeneracy of the genetic code in two manners: having more than one tRNA (with a specific anti-codon) for a particular amino acid; and 'wobble' base-pairing, i.e. permitting non-standard base-pairing at the 3rd anti-codon position. Lineage: Bacteria; Pseudomonadati; Spirochaetota. The record is from RNAcentral.